GGCCCAUUUGCCCCAUUCACUAAACACACAAAAAAAACCUAGAAUCAGAAUAAGAAACGGCUGCCCCCCAUUUUCUUUCCAUCGUUUUAUCUGUCAUCGUAAAAAACUCACCAAUUCUCAAAUCACCAUUUUUCUAUAUUCAAACAGGAACAACAAUAACAUUUGAAUUAAUGCAAUCAAUAGAUGAGAUAAGAUGCUAACCUCUAUGGCCUCGACUAUGAUAACAACCGGAUUUUCAGGGUGGUGGAGAGUGGUGGUUCCGAUGGCCCGGCGAUUGAGAUGAUGAUGAAGAUCGAACCGUGUUGCUUUGUGUCUCGGUGAGUUUGGUGUUGAUGCCCGCGACUGAGUGGUCGCGAUUUGCAGCUGUGCUCAGUGGAUCGGUAGAGGCCGAGAGCGGUCGGAAAUUUCGUGGUAGAAGAGAUCCAUACGAUUAGCUUUUCUCCUUCCUGCAAAAUAAAACAUCAAUAACAACAAAAUUGUAUACGCAAUAGAUUUGAAUUGAUUUUUUUUUUUAUGUUUGUCAUAAUUAAUUUGCAGGUCUCUUUGUGUGGUUUUUGUGUUGUAAAGAGUUAGUAUUGGUUUACUGAGUUUUUCAUGAAAGUAGCAACAGGUUGGUCAAAGGUUUUAACACAUUUUUACAUGUUAUUAAAUUUGAAUGCAACUAGUAUUAGAUAGGUGGAUAAUGAAAUUGAAAGUGAGGUUACUGGAAACGUGGGAUAAUGAGUAAUUUGCAAAGGUUAUUGGUGUGAAAUGACUUGUAGAUCGUUAGAAAAACAAUUAGUGUAGUCAACUACCUAACUAAGAAUAUAACAUGCCUAUUAACUCCCUUAAUUGCCCUUUCACUAAUUUUAAUUUGCACUAAAAUAUACCCAUUUUGGUAAUUUGCUAAAUCAAACUUCACUUAGACCAAUUAUAUUUCACCAUUAAUCCAAGUGGCACCCUUUUCUCAAUUUUGCUAUUGGUUAUUCUAUAACAACAAAUUAACCAUUGUGUAAUAAAAAUUGUUUCAUUACACUGUUGAUUUAGGGCUUUACACGCUAGACAAAACCAAUCACAAUUUCAAUAUUUCCCUCUCUUUCUCUCUUUUACUUUCAUUCUGCUUCCUCAUUCUCUCUCUACACUAAACCUCCGAUUUUUCCAUUGCUACUUCGCGCAUUCCACGGGUAAGAAAACAAUGUUUCUCCCUUCUUUCUUCUUCUUCAUCUUUUGUUCACAUGUUUUCUUCAUAUUGAUUCUUCGGUUCAAGUGAUUUUGUUACAUUUAUUUUUUUCGUGGUGGUUGAUGUUACCAAUCUGGUUAUUGUGAGUUUAUUUUCCCAAAUAUGGUGUGCUGAUAUUCAAGCUUCAUACCUAUAUCAUCUGUAAAGUUUUGAUUUUGGUCAAGUUUUGAGAUUUAUAACAUUUGUGUUCUUCAUUUGUGUAAAGUUUCGAUUUUGCCAUGACAUUUGCGUUGUUCAUGGUGGUUGAUGUUACCAAUCUGGUUAUUGUGAGCUUAUUUUCCCAAAUAUGGUGUAUUGAUGUUCAAAACACAUACAGUUGUGAUUUUUUUAGUGAUCUUUUUACUGAUUUUGAUGAAUGUUGUUAAAGUUGUGAUUUUUAUAGUGAUCUUUUUAGUCAUUUUGAUAAAUUGUCUUAAAGUUAUGAUUUUUAUAAAUUUGUGAAGUUGUGAUUUUUAUACUGAUUUUAAUAUUUACUGAUAUUGUGAUGUUUAUAAAGAUUCUUAAAGAGAUGAUUUUUAUAAAGUAGUGAUUUUUAUGAAGUAGUGAUUCUUUUGAAAUUGUUCUCAUAAGCUUUGGAGGAUCUUUACCUUAGGACAUCUAAUUAGUUUUCACUCUCCAGAAAUGUUCUGUUUUCGAAGUGCAAUAGGUGUGUAUGAUGUUAGGUUUAUUUUUCGAUUAUUUGUAGUGAUUUUGAUUUGAUGAUAUCUUACGAUGUUGUUUGGUUUGACUACAGGAAAGGGUAUAAUUCUGGAGCUUCCAUGACAUGUUCUGGUUGUCAAAGAAGUGGUAUGAGUAUAUCUAUGAGGCAUUUCGCUGCUAAUUAGAUUCAACAAAUGCAACAUCCUUGCAGUGAAUAUAAGGAAGUGGUAUGAAUAUUUCUAUGAAUAUUCCUAACACCGCAAUUUUUUAUAGGAUGAACUAGAGGUGGCCCUAACAGAUUUAAAAGCCAUUGUGCUGCAGCAUUAGGAAUUAAAGAGGAAGCAAUUGAAGUUGCUCAUACAUCAGCUAACAGAUGGACAGGUUCUAUGAUGAUGCCUAUUAUUUUCUUCUUGCUAUGGCUAAAAACGGUUUAAGACAAUAUUUUCACUCUGAAGUAAUGGUGUUCAAACAACUUCUCUAAGGCUAAGGAACACCUUGAAAAUAUGUACAAGGAGGUCAUUCAUUUCAUUUUAAUGCUUCAAUCUGCAAGCACCGUGCCUAAUUCUUAACCAACUAUUAGGCUUCUUUUGGUUCUAAAAUAGUUACAACAAAUGGAUUGAUAAAUGUUUUUUUGGAUGGCCUUUAUAACUUGUUGUUACUUUGUAUCUCCAUGCAGAUUGGUAGAACAGAUGAUUUUGACUAUUUGGAGAUGGCACCUCUUCCUUCCAAAGCAGUAGCUGAAUGAAUAUUAUUUGGCCAUUAAUACUCUUACCAUUUGCAUGCUAGAACUAUGUAAAUAAUAGUAACUUAAGACAUGAAAACCACUAUUUUUUUUAAUUCUAUACUCAUGUUGUUUCAUAGUUUUGAUUAUGAUCUUUAAUGAGUUUCAGACAAGGAGUAAUAUACUUAGUAUUCAAUCUUAACAGCAUUUGAACUGAGUUUUCAUAAAUCAGACUGUAAUAACAAAACUUUGAUAAGGUUAAAUGGUAUACAUAUCAGGUAGCCAAUUUUGAGGCACUUUUCAUACAACUUUUUCAUUUUUUCCUGCAAUAUAAUAUUGGUUUAGUAAUCUUUUUUACGUUAAUCCCACAUUUUGGAUUAGAGCUUAUAAUGUCGGAACAUUUAGACAGUUUAAUACAUUCAUUAGCACAUUCAAUGAUAGUACCAUGUACCAGUAUAAUGAUAUUGUAUUUUAAAUACAUGACUGAUAGCAGUGACUAUGACAGUUAAUAUUGUAUAUUGAAUUACUGCUUCUUUCAGCUUCCUUCCUACUACUUUUCUAAGGCUAGAUUUGACAGAUAUGCUUUUUGGGAAACUCGCCAUUCUAGGUUCAAGUGUUCAUUAAAUGCCAACUGCUAACUUUUGCAAAGCUUCAUCCUUCGGACAGUUUAUGUAUGCUUUCAAACAUGUUUAUGCUAUAAGGUACCAUUGCUUUAUCGAAUGCCACUCCCAUAUAAGCUACACUUAUACAUUAUAAAAGAGAAAACUGUAACCAUGCUUUCAUUUGCCGUACAAUUCACAUACUUAUUUUAUGCAAUUUUCAUUAUGAUGACAUGACUUAAGUUGCAUUAGCAUUAUAACCUAUUGUGUAAGACCCUGUU
Molecule: long non-coding RNA, 3459 nt
Organism: Vicia villosa (hairy vetch)
Lineage: Eukaryota; Viridiplantae; Streptophyta; Magnoliopsida; Fabales; Fabaceae
Exons: 3
Source: RefSeq, a predicted model, not a curated record